CUCACAUUGAAGUGAGCACUCAUAUAUCGAUGUGAGCACUGCUGAGGAUGUGCAACGCGGAUGCAAAGAGAAUAUUAUUUUUGUUCUCAGAUUUGCCAAGCAGAUUGAAAACCUCCGAUGCAGUGGACCUGUAUUUGCCGAAUUUAAUGGCGUUACCAGUAGGAGCCUUGAGGCAGACUUCUUUGAGGCUCUGGACCAGCACACCCCACGUUUCAUCCAACUGUUCAAAUCAAAGAAAGGAUCGGUUGGACAGAAACUGACAGAGUUGAUGCAGAGCAUCAACUGGGUGACACCAGACGUGACUGAACAGCGCUCUGUUGUCCUCAAAGGGAUUGCGAUUGUUCUUGGCGACGACUCCAACGAUUUC
Molecule: long non-coding RNA, 367 nt
Organism: Gymnodraco acuticeps
Lineage: Eukaryota; Metazoa; Chordata; Actinopteri; Perciformes; Bathydraconidae
Exons: 5
Source: RefSeq, a predicted model, not a curated record